This 21-nucleotide non-coding RNA is filed under the name Caenorhabditis elegans. The record is from RNAcentral. Lineage: Eukaryota; Metazoa; Nematoda; Chromadorea; Rhabditida; Rhabditidae.
UAAUUCCAGAUUUUCAAAGUG